GUCUAUGUUCCUUUGGAACAGGACGUCAUAGAGGGUGAGAAUCCCGUUUGGCGAGGAUACCUUUUCUCUGUAAGACUUUUUCGAAGAGUCGAGUUGUUUGGGAAUGCAGCUCAAAGUGGGUGGUAAAUUCCAUCUAAAGCUAAAUAUUGGCGAGAGACCGAUAGCGAACAAGUACAGUGAUGGAAAGAUGAAAAGAACUUUGAAAAGAGAGUGAAAAAGUACGUGAAAUUGUUGAAAGGGAAGGGCAUUUGAUCAGACAUGGUGUUUUUUGCAUGCACUCGCCUCUCGUGGGCUUGGGCCUCUCAAAAAUUUCACUGGGCCAACAUCAGUUCUGGCAGCAGGAUAAAUCAUUAAGAAUGUAGCUACCUCGGUAGUGUUAUAGCUUAUUGGAAUACUGCUAGCUGGGAUUGAGGACUGCGCUUCGGCAAGGAUGUUGGCAUAAUGGUUAAAUGCCGCCCGUCUUGAAACACGGACCAAGGAGUCUAACGUCUAUGCGAGUGUUUGGGUGUAAAACCCGUACGCGUAAUGAAAGUGAACGUAGGUUGGGGCCUUCGGGUGCACAAUCGACCGACCUUGAUGUUUUCGGAUAGGUUUGAGUAAGAGCAUAGCUGUUGGGACCCGAAAGAUGGUGAACUAUGCCUGAAUAGGGUGAAGCCAGAGGAAACUCUGG
RNAcentral lists this ribosomal RNA (670 nucleotides) under Hanseniaspora opuntiae. Its description in RNAcentral is "LSU rRNA". It matches the Rfam family "Eukaryotic large subunit ribosomal RNA", at positions 179 to 867 of the family's 3401-position model. Lineage: Eukaryota; Fungi; Ascomycota; Saccharomycetes; Saccharomycodales; Saccharomycodaceae. The record is from RNAcentral.